RNAcentral lists this ribosomal RNA (274 nucleotides) under uncultured bacterium. RNAcentral describes it as "partial 16S ribosomal RNA". It matches the Rfam family "Bacterial small subunit ribosomal RNA", at positions 523 to 796 of the family's 1533-position model. The record is from RNAcentral.
AUACGGAGGGUGCAAGCGUUGUUCGGAAUUACUGGGCGUAAAGCGCGCGUAGGCGGUCUGUUAUGUCAGAUGUGAAAGUCCUCGGCUCAACCGGGGAAGUGCAUUUGAAACUGGCAGACUUGAGUACUCGAGGGGGUGGUGGAAUUCCCGGUGUAGAGGUGAAAUUCGUAGAUAUCGGGAGGAAUACCGGUGGCGAAGGCGACCACCUGGCCAGAUACUGACGCUGAGGUGCGAAAGCGUGGGGAGCAAACAGGAUUAGAUACCCCGGUAGUCC